This 497-nucleotide ribosomal RNA is filed under the name uncultured bacterium. Its description in RNAcentral is "partial 16S ribosomal RNA". It matches the Rfam family "Bacterial small subunit ribosomal RNA", at positions 28 to 507 of the family's 1533-position model. The record is from RNAcentral.
GAUGAACGCUGGCGGAGUGCCUAAUACAUGCAAGUCGAGCGAACAGACGAGGAGCUUGCUCCUCUGACGUUAGCGGCGGACGGGUGAGUAACACGUGGAUAACCUACCUAUAAGACUGGGAUAACUUCGGGGAACCGGAGCUAAUACCGGAUAAUAUAUUGAACCGCAUGGUUCAAUAGUGAAAGACGGUUUUGCUGUCACUUAUAGAUGGAUCCGCGCCGCAUUAGCUAGUUGGUAAGGUAACGGCUUACCAAGGCAACGAUGCGUAGCCGACCUGAGAGGGUGAUCGGCCACACUGGAACUGAGACACGGUCCAGACUCCUACGGGAGGCAGCAGUAGGGAAUCUUCCGCAAUGGGCGAAAGCCUGACGGAGCAACGCCGCGUGAGUGAUGAAGGUCUUCGGAUCGUAAAACUCUGUUAUUAGGGAAGAACAAAUGUGUAAGUAACUAUGCACGUCUUGACGGUACCUAAUCAGAAAGCCACGGCUAACUACGUG